Long non-coding RNA from Erpetoichthys calabaricus (reedfish), 8361 nucleotides. RefSeq lists it as uncharacterized. NCBI's taxonomy places the organism in Eukaryota, Metazoa, Chordata, Cladistia, Polypteriformes, Polypteridae. The record is from RefSeq and is a predicted model, not a curated record. The transcript has 5 exons.
ACCACGCCUGGCCGGGUAGAAGGGGACAAAUUUGAGGUUAAACACCCCAUUCUCCAUGCUCACAAAGCUUUGGACUGGGAGCAGAUGGACCUUCUAACUAGCAGAGCAGCUGAUGUCCAGUUCAGAAACUACCAUUGUUAAGGCUCAGGGACAAAACUAUGGCCAGCAGGUUUUGAAUUCACUGUUACACAUCCGCGGAGACGGGCAAAGAGGACAUCCUAGUUGGACUUCUCUCAAGGGGGGCGGUUGCCCUGCAGCACAGGGCAUGGGUUCAAAUCUCAGUUCUGCACAGCCUUGUGAGACCCACUGUGCCAGUUUGUGCUUCAGUCAAAAACAAUGUUAAUUACAAACAGCUGCUCUUUGGGAUGAGGUGCACCAUGAAAGGUGCUAUAUAAAAUGGAAAUUGCACAUGAUUGUUUUUAAUUCCUGUAGAUUACAAAUAGUGGUAUCAAGAGAGUGUGUGCUUUAGGCAGAUGUUUAUCUUGAAAGGCGCUAUACAAAGAGUGCAGGUAACUAUUCUUAUUUCCUGGCAUUGCAUUCAUUGAUAAGAAUGAGCACUUUUGGUAGAGGUUCAUCUGGAAAGGCGCUAUAUACAGGUUGCAGAUCAUUGUUUUAAUUUCUUGGCCCUUACAAAAACUAGAAUUGACAAUUUGGACUUGGUAAGUGAAAUGCUGGACAGGUGAAAUGCAGGUAAGUGCAUUACAGUCACUGGUACUGAUGAGGUUGUAUACUUUUAGUGAACCUUUUUGUAUACUGUUAAAAAAGUCAGUUCUGAAAGACAGCGCUUUUAAUUUAUAUAGUGACUUACUUUAAUGAAAGCUAUUCCAGUUAAUGCUCAUUGUAGUUCCAGGGGGUGGGGUCACUAAGAAUAUUAUGGCUGAGGAGGAUUCAUUCUGGUGAUUCUAUAUAGCGCCUUUCAUAGCAAACGCCAUAAAAGAUGCUUCACAGGGGCAGCACUCUUGUGGACUCUGACGGGUGAACUGACUGGGUAUCUGUGACGAUGCGACUCUCUUCACGACUGUUUCGUUUUCUGUUUUCCGUCACCAGCUUUCAACGAGACAGUGUAGUGUCUUCCCGUAGCGUCCUGUUGAAUAUAAUUAACUGUGCCCAGUUAGUCGUCAACAUUAAAAGUAAAAGAUCAGAGAAGUGGCAUGUACCUGCAUUCUUUGCAGGAUUUUGGACAGCGUUGUUGACGUCACUCCUCGAAGAGGUCCUAUCGGCCGCCGCCUGUCCCGUUUCUUUUGGAGUCGUUUACUUUGCUGUCGCUGGUUUGGAAGCGGCAAGACGGGAAAGUGCGGUAAAGUUUUAAAGAAACACACUUUUUUGUGGCUUAGUUGUCGGCUGGGAAGGAGCGUUUCAUCGGCAGGAGGUGUAGGUGAGCGCGCAACAGCGCCAUCUGGUGACCAGGUGAGCGAUCACGCACGCACGCACGCAUGCACGCGCGGUCAGUUCAUAUGUUUAAGGAGGCGCGUGACAGGGGAAUGGGUGUGCAGAUCCCUGGUCAGCUGAUGUCGGGCGAAGCUUAUAAAAGCUUAUCGCGAAUGCAGACGAGAGAGAAAAAAAAGAGCUGAGAGAAUCGGAGGUCAUUCAGGAUGGCUUACGGAUGUUUAUAAUGAAAGGCGCUAUAUAAACAUUGCAGUGAUUCUGCAGGAGCUGCAGGAAGGCCUACAACUUGUGUGAUCGCUGCCAGCCGAGCGAUGUUCCCUCCAGGCGGAGACGCACGAUUCAGGAGGGACAGCGGUGGCGUGCGAUCGAGAGCCACUGGCGAAGGAGGAUCGGCGUGCUGCUGGAACGUCUGACUGGAGAGGCACAGCGGGGAAGGUGGAUGCUUUUUUGUUGACAAUAAUUUACCUGCCACUUCACACAGAAGAAAUCCAAACAUCUAUCUAUUAUCCUAACUACAGGGUCACGGGAGUCUGCUGAAGCCAAUCCCAGCCAACACAGGGUGCAAGGCAGGAAACAAACCCUGGGCAGGGCGCCAGCCCACUGCAGAGAAGAAAUCCUUUUUGAAAAUAAAACAGCACUGAUCGAGAGACAUACUAGGUCAUCAUACAAGAUCAGCGUAUCGUUACUGAUCCUUUAAAAAAGUCAUUUAACAACGAAGAGUAACAAGCCUUGUAAAAUUCCUGAGAGGGCAACGUCUCUACUGAACUACAGAGUGAAGGAAGACAUCCUGGAGGACCUCUGAUGACAUUUCCACCCAAACUACAGAAUUCUGUCCCUUCUGGUCCUUUCCACUAUUUAAGAAGAGCUCAGUCCAGAAGUUACCAUUUAUCGAUGGACCUGGUACUGGACAGGAAAGAUCCUUUUACGAGGAAGCAACCAAUAUCGGCUGAGGAAGCCAUACUUUGGAGCAGAAUGCCCUUGGAUUUUUGUUUCCAUUUCUGUUUGUGUCUAUUUACACCAGAUUAAGUGGAGCAUCCAUCUUGGUACCCCAACAUUUGAACUUUUCAUGUUUCUAUUUAUUAUAGUGGCAUAAUCGGCAGGAUUAUCCCUAGAAGAUGAUGGACCAAACAGAUCUCAGGAACUAAUAGAGCAGCUGCGAGACCAAGUAAGGCAGGUUCAAGUGAAAAUGACCAUGCAGAAUACAAGGUGAACAGCCAAAGAGACCCAGUGCACCGAACAAGCUAAUGACCCUACAUAGGUACAUAAGCCACUUUGAACAAAAGAUGACAUUGAAACUCACUUACUAUUCUUUGAAUGCACUGCUACUCGACAUCACUAGCCAGAUUCAAUAGGGAUUCCCUCUAUGGACCCCAACCCUUUAACGGUCACUGUUCCUAUUUAUUACAGUGGCGUAAUUGGCAGGAUUAUUCCUGGAAGAUGACAGACCAGACAGACCUCAUGGGACUAAUUCAGCAGCUGGCUGACCACGUAAAGCAGUUACAAGUGCAGAUUACCAUUCACAAUACAAGGUGAACAGCCAAAGAAACACUGUUUCUAUAUAUUGCAGUGGCGUAAUCGGCAGGACAGAGCUCAUGGGACUAAUACAGCAGACCAAGUGAAGGUAGUUACAAGUGCAGAUGGACACGGAUUGGAAAAGUGAAAAUGCACUGAACAAGCCCAAAGCCCUUGUCACUUUAAGCAAAGGACAACAUCAAAGCAUUUGUACUAUUGUCUGAAUGUACUGCUAUUAGACAUCACUGGCCUGAUUAAACAAGGCAUCCAUCCCUCUUGGGGCCCCAACCCUUUAACUGUUCUCGUUUCCUUUUAUUACCAUAUACAGUCAUAUGAAAAAGUUUGGGAAGCCCUCUUAAUUCUUUGGAUUUUUGUUUCUCAUUGGCCGAGCUUUCAAAGUAGCAACUUCCUUGUAAUAUAUGACAUGCCUUAUGGACACAGUAGGAUUUCAGUAGUGACAUUCAGUUUAUUGGAUUAACAGAAAAUAUGCAAUAUGCAUCAUAACAAAAUUAGACCGAUGCAUAAAUGUGGGCACCCCAACAGAGAUAUGACAUCAAUACUUAGUUGAGCCUCUCUAACAGCCUCUAGACGCUGUCCUCCUAUAGCCUUUGAGGAGUGUCUGGAUUCUGGAUGCAGGUAUUGUUGACCAUGCUUCAUACAAAAUCUCUCCAGUUCAGUUCAAUUUGAUGGACAGCCUGCUUCAAAUCAUCCCAUAGAUUUUUGAUGAUAUUCAAGUCAGAGGACUGUGACGGCCAUUCCAGAACAUUGUACUUCUCCCUCUGCAUGAAUGCCUUUGUAGAUUUCCAACUGUGUUUUGGAUCAUUGUCUUGUUGGAAUAUCCAACCCCUGCGUAACUUCAGCUUUGUGACUGAUGUUUGACAUUAUCCUGAAGAAUUUGUUGAUAUUGGGUUGAAUUCAUGCGACCCUCAACUUUAACAAGGGUCCCAGUGCCUGAACUAGCCACACAGCCCCACAGCAUGAUGGAACCUCCACCAAAUUUAACAGUAGGUAGCAGGUGUUUUUCUUGGAAUGCGGUGUUCUUCUUCCGCCAUGCAUAGUACUUUUUGUUCUGACCAAAUAACUCCAUUUUUGUCUCAUCAGUCCAAAGCACUUUGUUCCAAAAUGAAUCUAGCUUGUCUAAUUGAGCAUUGGCAUACAACAAGCGACUCUGUUUGUGGCGUGAGUGCAGAAAGGGCUUCUUUCUCAUCACCCUGCCAUACAGAUGUAAUUUGUGCAAAUUGCGUUGAAUUGUAGAACGAUGUACAGGUACACCAUCUGCAGCAAGAUGUUCUUGCAGGUCUUUGGAGGUGAUCUGUGGUUGUCUGUCACCAUUCUCACAAUCCUGCUCAUAUGUCGCUCCUGUAUUUUUCUUGGCCUGCCAGACCUGCUGGGUUUAACAGCAACUGUGCCUGUGGCCUUCCAUUUCCUGAUUACAUUCCUUACAGUUACAGAAACUGACAGGUUAAUAAUAAUAAUAAUAAUAAUAUCCAUCCAUCUAUUUUCCAACCCGCUGAAUCUGAACACAGGGUCACGGGGGUCUGCUGGAGCCAAUCCCAGCCAACACAGGGCACAAGGCAAGAACCAAUCCCGGGCAGGGUGCCAACCCACUGCAGAUAAUAAUAAUAAUAUAUCUUAUUUAUACAAGGCACCUUUCUGAGAACGCAAGGACACCGAACAAACAAUAAAUAAAUAAAUAAGAGACACAAUUAUAAACAACUACAAACAUCAGAAAAUAUAAAAAUUAAAACCAAACAUAACCACUGUAAUCAUAAAGAAAAAGCCAUUUUAAACAGACGCGCUUUAAGUUUACAUUUGAAGGAUGAUUAUGAUUUGAUAUUUCUAAACUCGGUAGGUAAUGAAUUCCAGAGCUUGGGAGCAGAACGACUGAAUGCUCUGCUCCCCAUGGUGGUUAGACGGGCAAGAGGGACGGUCAGAUGGAUGGAAGAAGAGGAUCUAAGGUUACGGGAGGGAACGGCAACAUGAAGAAGGUCAGACAGGUAUGGAGGGGCGAGGUUAUGCAUGGCCUUAAAUGUUAAUAACAGAAUUUUAAAAUCAAUUCGAAACUUAAUCGGGAGCCAAUGAAGCUGCUGCAAGACUGGAGUAAUAUGGUGAAUAUAGGGGGUUCUAGUAGUGAUGCGUGCUGCAGAAUUCUGGGCCAGCUGAAGCUUAUGGAGAGAUUUAUUAAAGAGACCAAAGAGGAGUGAAUUGCAAUAGUCCAGCCGAGAAGUAACAAGACUAUGAACAAGAAUGGCGGUGGUAUGGGGAGUGAGGGAGGGGCGGAUGCGAUUAACAUUACGUAUUUGGAAGUAAGCAGACCGGGUGACGUUAUUAAUGUGAGAUUGGAAAGAUAGAGUACCGUCGAGGAUGACACCCAGACUCUUGACCUGAGGUGAUGGGGAAACAACGGAGUUAUCAAUAAUAAGUGAAAGAUUAUUGGCUUUGGAUAAUGAUGAUUUUGAACCAAUGAGGAGAACCUCAGUUUUGUCACUGUUUAAUUUAAGAAAAUUCGAAGUUUAAACCUCUGAGAUAGCUUUUUGUAGCCUUCCCCUAAACCAGGAGACUGAACAAUCUUUGUUUUCAGAUCUUUGGAGAGUUGCUUUGAGGAUCCCAUGCUGUCACUCUUCAGAGGAGAGUCAAAGGGAAGGUAGCACAACUUGCAGCUGACCACCGUAGCUCUUUUAGGGCGGAUGUCGACUUUUGUCGACAGGAGGGGUUGAGGGCGAAUGUCGACAAAAGUCGACAUAGAGGGAUAGAGGGCGACAAUCAGCUGUUAAUGGCGACAAAACUCACUGUCACGUCGCAGGCAUUCCCUCUGUGCUUGGAGGAAUGCUAGACUCGUUGACUCGGCAACUAAUCCUUGCGUGUGCGUGAGUUGCGAAAUGUAAACAAAGGCAAGAUGGCAUCGACAUGUCACAAGGGAGCGAAGCGAGUGCAGAAAAGAAAACACUCGGCAGACCAUGUUUUGCGCAUUAUCGCGGAGUCGGACUCUGAUUUUUCAGAAUUGGAUUUUAUUGACAGCGAUCAGGAGAUCGAACAAGAGAGUGAGAAGCCGGCAUCAGCUGAUCGGACACCAGCCGAUGCCACGCCAGCUGAUCCGCUGCCAGCUGAACAAUUCGUGCAGCCGAUGCAUCUACGGCAAAGUUCGCGUGGGAGGAAUACAGAGACAUUGAUCCGUGGGCUACCGGACUUCACAAGACGGCAUGGCUUGCUGUUGGACACGACAGAUCACCAGCUGCUGAACUACUUCAGGCUGCUCUCUCCUGGUGCUGCUUUUCAGCUACUGUCAGAUGAGACAAACAGGUAGGCAGAGAAAUUUUUUGAAUCGCGGGCUGCGCUUGCAUCGCAUUCUCAUUUUUCAAAGUGGAAACCCACAACAAAAGACGAGAUGAAGCGCGCUGUGGCAUUACAAAUAGAGAUGGGACAGAACUGGUGAUAUAACUUCAGAGAGCAUUGGUCCAAACGUGCUUUGUCCCCUGGUGGCUUUGGACAGGUUAUGCCGCGUGAUGAUAGGUACAUGCUGCUGCAAAGUUUUAUUCAGAAAACUUGGUGGCAGUGGCAUGGCACGAUGGCAAACGGGUGACUUGUCUCUCUACAGUACACACUAACAAUAUAUGUGAGAAAGUACAGCAACAGACAAUUGAAAAGUAGGCACCAAAGCAACACAUAUGGUAAGCAGUGCAAUGUGGCAAUGACUGAAAUUGGCUGCUUUGAGCGAGAUCAGGCUUUGCAGGACUUUGCUGUGUAAAAUGUGUGUGAUAUGUAUGUGAAAUCAUAGAGUAUGCAGGCUCAUACAACAUGCAAGACAGUAACAUUUGUCAAAAGUAAAUAUUUUUGGUUGAUUUCAAUUGCUUUGUGUUUUUUUUUUUAAAAAAGUUAGUUUUUGGAAAAAUAUUCAGCCCUGGGAGAAAAGAAACAAAAAAAAAUUAGCCCUAAAAGAGUUAAAUACCUUUAUAUCUCAUGAUUGGACACACCUGUCUAUGAAGUUCAAGGCUUCACGAGCUCAUCAACCAAGUAAUCAGCAUUGAACAGUGACAGGCAUUCAAAUCAGCAAAAUAACAAGAGGACCCACAUUUGUGCACAGCCAGUUUUUCACAUUUGAUUUCACUUCAUACAACUAAAUACUGCGUCACUAAAAAUCUUUGUUCAGAAAACACCGCAGUACUCAGAUGUUCCUAGGAAAUGAAAGACAUACCACUGCUAUCUUUCUGGUUGAAAGUCAAGUAAAUUAUUAUGCAGGCUGAGAGGGGUUCCCAAACUUUUUCAUAUGACAGUGAAUUGAAUGCCAUUGCUCACCCAUUCUGUCUGUUGCCAACCACUUCAUGGAUGUGCAGAAAGUUGCUGUUGUGGUAAAAAAUAUUAUAAUAAGAUAAAUUACAUCUUGCCUGAAGAAGGGGCCUGAGUUACCUCGAAAGCCUGCAUAUUGUAAUCUUUUUAGUUAGCCAAUAAAAGGUGUCAUUUUGCUUGGCUUUUCUCUAUAAUAAGAUAAAUUAAUUAAUAGUUGUGAGGUUUGGAUUUUAUAUCUUAUUAAGUACAUUUAGCAAAGUUCACUAUAUAAUGUAAAAGCGUUUUCAGGUAAUCAAGGGCAGCUGAAACAAGAUGCAAGCAGACUACAUUAGGCUGUCAGCAGUAAACUCUCUGUUUAUUUGCUGUAUGAGGAAGGUAUCUGCCUUCAGCUUCUGUGCUAAUAAAGAAAGAAGCUGAAAAUGGCAACACAAACACGUGAUGCUUGGCAUUAAUGAUCUACGUGUUUUUGCUGACAGUGUUUACUUAUAAUUUAGUACGGGUCAUUUUGCCCUGUGUCCAGCUAGCAAUUGCAAACAACAAAUGAUGAUAAGAAACUUUGUAUGAUGUAAGCAAUCUAAUUCUGUACCUUUUACUUUUGUAUAAAAAAGACCUCAUCUAGCGAAAAAGGUGGGUAUCUUGUUAUGGAAUGCUGUGUGCGACUCUAAGCAGGCUCCUAUCAAUCAUGGAGAAUCCACUGCAUCCACUGAACAGGAUCAUCUCCAGACAGAGGAGCAGCUUCAGCGACAGACUGCUGUCACCGUUCUGCUCCACUGACAGACUGAGGAGAUCAUUCCUCCGCCACACUAUGCGACUCUUCAAUUCCACCCGGGAGGGAUUUUCGCUACCGCAUACUGAAAAAUAAAGGCGGCCAUUCAUUUAAACGGAUAUGUUGGCGUAAAUGCAGGACGUGUCUGAAGAGCGGCAUCUGCCAGGGGAUUUCACUCUUUCACUCUCUACAUUUCUUUCCUGUUUACCUUUAAUUCCUGGGACAUUAUUUGAUUGAGAUAUACUUUUUGUGCAAGUUUUAAAAAUAAAGAAAAUUUGCAUUGACAUUUGAAUGUCAGUAAUUCAGUAAAAAUUAUCCUUAGACAUUUGAUUUCAUUUUUUUUUUGAAAAUAUAACUCAGUUGUUGUUGACUAUCUGUGUAUGUUCAAAUAAAUAAAGAUAUAUGGAAUUUUA